This 73-nucleotide transfer RNA is filed under the name Bacteroidales bacterium. Its description in RNAcentral is "tRNA-Gly". It matches the Rfam family "tRNA". Rfam says of the family: Transfer RNA (tRNA) molecules are approximately 80 nucleotides in length. Lineage: Bacteria; Pseudomonadati; Bacteroidota; Bacteroidia; Bacteroidales. RNAcentral also lists the same sequence under 1 other name. The record is from RNAcentral.
GCGGAAAUAGCUCAAUUGGUAGAGUGUCAGCCUUCCAAGCUGAAUGUUGCGGGUUCGAGUCCCGUUUUCCGCU